RNAcentral lists this ribosomal RNA (253 nucleotides) under uncultured bacterium. Its description in RNAcentral is "partial 16S ribosomal RNA". It matches the Rfam family "Bacterial small subunit ribosomal RNA", at positions 524 to 776 of the family's 1533-position model. The record is from RNAcentral.
UACGUAGGGUGCGAGCGUUGUCCGGAAUUACUGGGCGUAAAGAGCUCGUAGGUGGUUUGUCGCGUUGUCCGUGAAAACUCACAGCUCAACUGUGGGCGUGCGGGCGAUACGGGCAGACUGGAGUACUGCAGGGGAGACUGGAAUUCCUGGUGUAGCGGUGGAAUGCGCAGAUAUCAGGAGGAACACCGGUGGCGAAGGCGGGUCUCUGGGCAGUAACUGACGCUGAGGAGCGAAAGCGUGGGGAGCAAACGGG